Molecule: ribosomal RNA, 403 nt
Filed under: uncultured bacterium
Lineage: Bacteria
Description: partial 16S ribosomal RNA
Rfam family: Bacterial small subunit ribosomal RNA
Source: RNAcentral
GACGAACGCUGGCGGCGUGCCUAAUACAUGCAAGUCGAACGCAGUGGGGACGGGUGAGUAACACGUGGGUAACCUCCCAUCAGAGGGGAUAACACUUGGAAACAAGUGCUAAACCGCUACUGAUGGAUGGACCGGCGGUGCAUUAGCUGGUUGGUGAGGUAACGGCUCACCAAGGCGACGAUGCCUAGCCGACCUGAGAGGGUGAUCAGCCACACUGGAACUGAGACACGGCCCAGACUCCUACGGGAGGCAGCAGUAGGGAAUCUUGGGCAAUGGGGGAAAGUCUGAUCCAGCAAUGCCGCGUGAGUGAAGAAGGUUUUCGGGUCGUAAAGCUCUGUUGUUAGAGAAGCGUUAUCUAACCAGGAAGCCACGGCUAACUCCGUGCCAGCAGCCGCGGUAAUUC